GAAUCUACCUAGUAGUGGGGGAUAGCACGGGGAAACUCGUAUUAAUACCGCAUACGACCUACGGGAGAAAGGGGGCAGUUUACUGCUCUCGCUAUUAGAUGAGCCUAAGUCGGAUUAGCUAGAUGGUGGGGUAAAGGCCUACCAUGGCGACGAUCUGUAGCUGGUCUGAGAGGAUGAUCAGCCACACCGGGACUGAGACACGGCCCGGACUCCUACGGGAGGCAGCAGUGGGGAAUAUUGGACAAUGGGGGAAACCCUGAUCCAGCCAUGCCGCGUGUGUGAAGAAGGCCUUUUGGUUGUAAAGCACUUUAAGCAGUGAAGAAGACUCCUCGGUUAAUACCCGUGGACGAUGACAUUAGCUGCAGAAUAAGCACCGGCUAACUCUGUGCCAGCAGCCGCGGUAAUACAGAGGGUGCAAGCGUUAAUCGGAAUUACUGGGCGUAAAGGGAGCGUAGGUGGCUCGAUAAGUCAGAUGUGAAAUCCCCGGGCUCAACCUGGGAACUGCAUCUGAUACUGUUGAGCUAGAGUAUGUGAGAGGAAGGUAGAAUUCCAGGUGUAGCGGUGAAAUGCGUAGAGAUCUGGAGGAAUACCGAUGGCGAAGGCAGCCUUCUGGCAUAAUACUGACACUGAGGCUCGAAAGCGUGGGUAGCAAACAGGAUUAGAUACCCUGGUAGUCCACGCCGUAAACGAUGUCUACUAGUCGUUGGGUCCCUUGAGGACUUAGUGACGCAGCUAACGCAAUAAGUAGACCGCCUGGGGAGUACGGCCGCAAGGUUAAAACUCAAAUGAAUUGACGGGGGCCCGCACAAGCGGUGGAGCAUGUGGUUUAAUUCGAUGCAACGCGAAGAACCUUACCUGGUCUUGACAUAUCUAGAAUCCUGCAGAGAUGCGGGAGUGCCUUCGGGAAUUAGAAUACAGGUGCUGCAUGGCUGUCGUCAGCUCGUGUCGUGAGAUGUUGGGUUAAGUCCCGCAACGAGCGCAACCCUUGUCCUUAGUUACCAGCGGGUUAAGCCGGGAACUCUAAGGAUACUGCCAGUGACAAACUGGAGGAAGGCGGGGACGACGUCAAGUCAUCAUGGCCCUUACGACCAGGGCUACACACGUGCUACAAUGGUAGGUACAGAGGGCAGCUACACAGCGAUGUGAUGCGAAUCUCAAAAAGCCUAUCGUAGUCCAGAUUGGAGUCUGCAACUCGACUCCAUGAAGUAGGAAUCGCUAGUAAUCGCGGAUCAGAAUGCCGCGGUGAAUACGUUCCCGGGCCUUGUACACACCGCCCGUCACACCAUGGGAGUUGAUUGC
RNAcentral lists this ribosomal RNA (1299 nucleotides) under Psychrobacter cryohalolentis. Its description in RNAcentral is "bacterial SSU rRNA". It matches the Rfam family "Bacterial small subunit ribosomal RNA", at positions 122 to 1418 of the family's 1533-position model. The record is from RNAcentral. Lineage: Bacteria; Pseudomonadati; Pseudomonadota; Gammaproteobacteria; Moraxellales; Moraxellaceae.